UACAGAGGUCUCAAGCGUUGUUCGGAAUUACUGGGCGUAAAGGGCGCGUAGGCUGCGCCGUAAGUCAGAUGUGAAAGCCCAGGGCUCAACCCUGAAAUUGCAUCCGAUACUGCGGUGCUUGAGAAAUGAAGGGGAGUCUAGAAUUUUCGGUGUAGCAGUGAAAUGCGUAGAUAUCGAAAGGAAUACCAAAGGCGAAGGCAGGACUCUGGGCAUUUUCUGACGCUGAUGCACGAAGGCCAGGGUAGCGAACGGG
This 253-nucleotide ribosomal RNA is filed under the name uncultured bacterium. RNAcentral's name for it is "partial 16S ribosomal RNA". It matches the Rfam family "Bacterial small subunit ribosomal RNA", at positions 524 to 776 of the family's 1533-position model. The record is from RNAcentral.